This 908-nucleotide long non-coding RNA is filed under the name Daphnia magna. Its description in RNAcentral is "uncharacterized LOC123472212". The record is from RNAcentral. Lineage: Eukaryota; Metazoa; Arthropoda; Branchiopoda; Diplostraca; Daphniidae.
GGCUACAUGCAGUCUGCAAUGGAUUAAUUUUGUUGGUUAUCUUUUCUUUUCAGUAUUCUUUUAUGUAGUUGUAGUUUUAGAUUAGAAUCUUAGAUUUUCAUUAUUAUUACAAUGACAAGUGUGCCAUCUGAGGAAGAAACGGGAAAUCCCAUCGAUGAUGUAGCCGAAACAGAAAAGUUUGAGUUUGGGAAAGGAUACGAUUUAACUUAUUUUAAAGAUAUUAGGGAGAAAUAUUGAGGAAAAAGAAAGGCAAGAAGAAGAACUGCACAAGGCCUUGUUGAAAUUCCCAGUUAUCCAACCCGCCCAGCCCUUUGGUUGGAUUUUAAAAAGUCCAAAGGAACCUGCAGCUCCAGACGUACAUCCAUUCACAGCAUUCAAUCUAAAACAGCCUUCGAAAAUGGAAUGGACCAUUUUACGCUGUCUGCAUCCCAAAAUGUACAGGAAUGGUCCACUGACGUCAGUGGGUAUGGGAAUCUUGCAGGUGAGUUUAUGAAAACACCAGAAUGUCAUGCUGCAGUAGUCGCUUGGACUGCGUUGGUUAAAAAAUACCAAUUGAAAAGGGAAACAGAUUCAGGCUGAUGUUGAAUCCGACUUUUUGGAUGAAGACACGUUCGCCUACGACAUUGAAAAUGGCAUCGAAGACCUUCUAUUAGAUAAUAUUCAAGAAGAUGGUGAUGAGGAAAAUGAAGCAUACGAAGAAGAUAGCGAAGAGGAGACUGCUGAUUACCAGGAUUACAGCGACGAAGAGACAAACGAUUAUCAAGACUACGCUGACGAGGACAAUGAAGGAAACAAUUAAUAUCGAUCGUUUAAAACUCUCUUAUAUAUAGUUAUGCUAAUCCUGUAAUUAGGGCUACUUUUGAAAUGGAGCUAUUGAUGAAAGGGAAUAAAAGUAUAAUUAUGAGGUU